GAGCCGGGGAGCACGGCAUCAGGUCGUGUCCAGCGCCAGAAUGCAGAAGGGUGCUAACCGUUCCAUUAUCUGCUCCGAAUUAGGUCUGCCACUAUAGAUUUUCUUCACUCUUAGGAAUAAGCAGUUCUUCAGACUCAAGUGCCUGAAAGUAUAGGAUGACAGCAAUUCUGCCAAUGGGAAAGAAGAGCUGAAUGAGUUCUUUAUUUUCCACUUCGAGAUUUGAAUCCUGUAAGCCAGUAAUUUUUAAACAGUUGAAGAAACAAGAUGGGAAGACUGGAAAAAUAGAUGUCAUUGUAUGUGGCAAAUAAGAAUGCUGUGCCAUUCAAGAAAAAUGUCAGUUCAGAAACUUCCCAAUCUGAUGUGAUUUCUUUGUAUGAGAGUAGCAC
RNAcentral lists this long non-coding RNA (386 nucleotides) under Gallus gallus (chicken). RNAcentral's name for it is "lncRNA (ENSGALG00010021403.1)". The record is from RNAcentral. Lineage: Eukaryota; Metazoa; Chordata; Aves; Galliformes; Phasianidae.